This 468-nucleotide ribosomal RNA is filed under the name uncultured bacterium. RNAcentral's name for it is "partial 16S ribosomal RNA". It matches the Rfam family "Bacterial small subunit ribosomal RNA", at positions 28 to 507 of the family's 1533-position model. The record is from RNAcentral.
GACGAACGCUGGCGGCGUGCUUAACACAUGCAAGUCGAACGGAAAGGCCCUGCUUUUGUGAGGUGCUCGAGUGGCGAACGGGUGAGUAACACGUGAGUAACCUGCCCUUGACUUUGGGAUAACUUCAGGAAACUGGGGCUAAUACCGGAUAGGAGCUCCUGCUGCAUGGUGGGGGUUGGAAAGUUUCGGCGGUUGGGGAUGGACUCGCGGCUUAUCAGCUUGUUGGUGGGGUAGUGGCUUACCAAGGCUUUGACGGGUAGCCGGCCUGAGAGGGUGACCGGCCACAUGGGGACUGAGAUACGGCCCAGACUCCUACGGGAGGCAGCAGUGGGGAAUAUUGCACAAUGGGCGGAAGCCUGAUGCAGCAACGCCGCGUGCGGGAUGACGGCCUUCGGGUUGUAAACCGCUUUCGCCUGUGACGAAGCGUGAGUGACGGUAAUGGGUAAAGAAGCACCGGCUAACUACGUG